RNAcentral lists this long non-coding RNA (1145 nucleotides) under Helianthus annuus (common sunflower). Its description in RNAcentral is "sRNA HanXRQr2_Chr01g0028891". Lineage: Eukaryota; Viridiplantae; Streptophyta; Magnoliopsida; Asterales; Asteraceae. The record is from RNAcentral.
GUACCACAUGUGGAAGCGAGUUUGGAAACUUUUCUGCAGCCAAAAUCUGUGCGAAAAUAACUAUCAAUAGUAAAACUAAAUCUUUUAACUUGAAAUAAAUCUUUUACGGAUUUUGACAGACGACAUAUAUAAACUGCAUUAAGGUGUUCACUAUGCAACAAUUGGAGCACCAUGGCAUUGGCAUCAGGGCAACCGUUGACACGCAAAUUCUGCAAUUUUUCAGCCUUGAUGUUGAAGUUGUUAACAUUGCGACAACCAUAAAGUAUCAAAUUCUUAAGUUGUGGUAAGCAAUGUUGUAGAAGGCGCUAGGCGCUAGUCGGGCGGUGAGUUCCACCUAAAUUAACCCCGAAAUCAACAUGCAUUAAUUUAAUAUCUUGAAGAUUGGGAAAUCCCUUAAACGCAGGUGGUGGCUUGAAAAUACAGGUAAACAAGUUCAGCUUUGUCAAUUGUAGACAAGAGAAUACGGAGGAUGGAAUAUGAUAAACCCGAUUGGAGUUCACAAUGUGGAGUUCCCUAACAUUAUUCCUUGAUAGGAUUAACAUCCAUUGAUCAACUUCUUUGAGACUAUCAAGAAAUAUCUCUUUUGGUAUAUGGAGAACAAAUUUGAAAAUGGGACCACUGUGAAGGAUCAUAAUCUGGUUUAAAACCCUAAUAAACCCAUUACAACUGAAGGCUCCAGUUUUUAAAAACUGUUGAGAGAAUUGCUUAUAGAGAAACAGUGUCUUCAUAGUGGUCCAUCUGUAUCUCCACUUUCUAGAUAAAACACUUGUCCUUACAGCAUCUUUAACUGGGAGCCGCUCUAAAAUCGGGUCUAGCAAAUCCUCAGGCAAGUUACUGAUUAUGUCCUUGUCAGCAGAGGAGCUUACAAACCUCCUCCUUGUAUGACGAUUAUCUAUCAUUACAUUCAACAAAACCAUGACUUCAAAAGUAAACAGAGUUUAUGAAUUUAACUAGAAUCUAGAACAAUGCUUGUUUAGAGAACACUAUGAAAUCACAUAAUAGAGGAUAGUUUGAACAGAAUCUCACUAAAACGUAAACAACAAUAUAUUAUAAUGAUAAUAAAAGAAAGAGAUACAAUAAUGCAGGUGUGUGAACUAGUACAACUUACCCAUGAAUUGGAAACUCUCAAGCGAUCAACUAGUUGG